This 299-nucleotide ribosomal RNA is filed under the name Stedocys pagodas. RNAcentral describes it as "partial 12S ribosomal RNA". The record is from RNAcentral. Lineage: Eukaryota; Metazoa; Arthropoda; Arachnida; Araneae; Scytodidae.
UGGUAGUAUAUAAACCAAUAUACCUUGGCGGUCAAUAACCAUUAGAGGAACUUGUUACAUAAAUCGAAAACACACUAUUAUUUUAACUUUUCUUAUCAAAUUUAUAUACCGUCGUUAAGACUAGAAAUUACUUCUACUCAAUUCACUAAAGAUCCACAUCAGAUCAAGGUGUAAUAAUAGAAAUGAAGUAAUUAGUUACAAUUUAAAUGAUAUAAGAAUCAUUAAGAAACCUUAAUGUGAAAGAGAAUCUAAUAGUAAAAUUCAAUUAAAAUUUAAUUUUAAAUUUCAACUGUUGAUGC